CACCUCUCAAGCCUGGCUUGCUGUUGGACUCUGGGUUGAGCUUCGGCUCUGACCAGUCCCAAAGAUAAUGACGGCGUCUGUGAGGACCCCAGUACAUUGAGCUAUUUCUAGCACGUAUUAGGCGGAAAUCCAGGCCCGGUCUUACCCAUUUUACUUAUAAGGUUGACCUCGGAUCAGGUAGGGAUACCCGCUGAACUUAA
RNAcentral lists this unclassified non-coding RNA (200 nucleotides) under soil metagenome. RNAcentral's name for it is "partial contains internal transcribed spacer 2 and large subunit ribosomal RNA". The record is from RNAcentral.